This 735-nucleotide long non-coding RNA is filed under the name Rhinopithecus bieti (black snub-nosed monkey). Its description in RNAcentral is "lncRNA (ENSRBIG00000045877.1)". The record is from RNAcentral. Lineage: Eukaryota; Metazoa; Chordata; Mammalia; Primates; Cercopithecidae.
AAAGUUAUUUUCCUCUUUGUUGAUUCCCUGGCAUUUCCUCCCCUAACCUCAACUCCACAGGAGCACCAAUUACCUUCACAUGUGAUGGGAUUCACUUACCUGGGGAGGAGUGGAGAGAGGAGGAAUCUACCCUGGUACUCCAGUAACAAACCCUGGCAUGGACAGUGGAAGCGGGACCUCCACUGCGAGUAGAUCUCAUUAGCAUCAGCUGCUCCCAGCAUAAAAACAGCACAAUUUUCUUCCCAAGGCAUCUCUCUGAUCAUUAGUGAUAGCUCCACGGGACUGAGUGUACAUGAUUCUAACCAGUAAAGGAGAACUUGGGAAGUGUUGCUGUCUGAUACCAUGAACUGGAGAGGAAGAAGUUCUGCUUUGGGAAUGUUAGAAACCUCUCCUGUUAACAGAGUGGAAGAAGGGAGGCAGGAAGUGAGAGAAGAUGUGGCCAGGAGGCAGUAAUGGUAGCAUGACCCCAGAGGACAGACAGCAAACCUCGGCCGGCUCCAAAGGCGUGACAGAUGUAGGUGUGUCAUGAUUGUUUGGUGGUGGAGGUGGGGUGAGGUGGGAUAUUUGUUGGGGAUGGCUCUGAGGAGAAUUUGUGAAGGGAAAAAGGCUUUUUGGUUGCAUUUUAUGCUUAAAUGAAAAUUACUGCAAAGCCCUUUAUAAAUUAUAUAAUUGUACUCCCUUUAGAUUUCAUGCCCUUCAUUGCUAUUAUUAAUGAUGGCUGUCACUCCACUCUCU